This 28-nucleotide non-coding RNA is filed under the name Mus musculus (house mouse). The record is from RNAcentral. Lineage: Eukaryota; Metazoa; Chordata; Mammalia; Rodentia; Muridae.
UGGAAAUGACAUCAGCCCGAGGUGUUGA